This 1823-nucleotide long non-coding RNA is filed under the name Equus caballus (horse). RNAcentral's name for it is "lncRNA (ENSECAG00000055550.1)". Lineage: Eukaryota; Metazoa; Chordata; Mammalia; Perissodactyla; Equidae. The record is from RNAcentral.
AACAUCAUGCAUUUCCUUAAAUCUAAGCUCCCUCUCUCUUACAGAAAGGAUCAUAGUCCCUUUGCUUUGCAAUUAUAGAAAUUCUGCUUCUUUCGACACACUUAUGAUUUAUUUGGAAAAACAUAUUUUAUUGUUAUUGGUCACUUUACAUUCCCUUUCCCCCCAUGGAAAUUAUGAUACAUUUUACUUAUUUUUAUUAGAGCCACCCUUAUUUGCACCCUUUUUCCUACCUAACAAAGCAUUAGCACACCAAAAAGGGAAGUCGUGGUGGCCAUGGUGAUGCCCUCUCCACAUCCCCUUUCUAAAAAGUACUUGCUGCCCCUUUAAGAAAGUUUGUUGUCUCAGCUGUGAGAGAUGCUUUGGCAGACAAGCUUCAGCUGGCAGCACCUUCAAGGAUGGCUUCAGCUCCACAGAACUUCCUCACCGAAGGUCGUGUCCUUCAGAGGGUAGCCCACAUCAAAUGACGGUGGAGGAGGGUAGACAUCUGUCAGACCAUUUCAGCCCAACAAAGGACAACUGUAAUGGGUUGUUUUAGCCCAAGCUUCCGCAUGAAGUUGGAACUGCUCCUACUGCCAGAUCCUUCUUCCUGCCUCCCCUUUCCAUGAGCGCUGAUGAGUCUUAGAGUCCAUCUCAGCGUCCUUCCCGGAGAACCCGACUCGUGAGACAUGGGUGGUUAAAAACACAUCUCUACAUCAGUAAUGACCUAGCUUCUCCACGUACUCAAGGAGGAUCAGGAGUAUGACUACAUUUCACUGUGCAGUGCCCCAAGGUCUUUCCAAGAUUCCACAGAAGGUGCUUGAGUGAAAUCAGUCGUAUAUGCAUUUGCUUUGUUUGGUCCUGCACAUAUUUUUAGGAAUUUGAAUGGGGAAAAAUCAUCACCUUAAGGAAAAAGUCAGAGCUACACAAUACUUUAUCACUGUCAGUAUCGUUUUCAUCUGACGAUUGGGCCUGCUUUGCUCCCCAAACGCCAGUGCCUAACCAGGUUCAACGAAUUUGCUGCUAUCCUGAGACUGAUUCUCAGUAGACACAAAGGACUGGCGCACACACUAUCAUAUGGCAGGAUGCGAUGGAAUGGGAAGGUCCUCAUUAUUUCCAAGAUAUUGUCCUAACAAUUGCUGGGUGCCCUCAAGAUUCUCCAAUGCCUCCAAUAUGUAAGCCUCAGGCCUAAGGGGAAACUACACAAUUCUGGACCAUGGCGGGGGAGUGAACUCAGCUGGAACAGGUUAAAAAUCCUACUCAAUCUCCAUGACUGAGUGACAAAUCCAGGAGAAAGUGAGGUUAAUCCAGCCACAGUCAGAAUGCCUCCUCUGAGUGUGUAUAAACCAGUGAAAUGUGCAGGAGGCCUGGGAAGCAGCGGCGAGGUCCAGCGAAAAUAAUCAUCACUCUUCACGCCGAGAGGCAACAAGCACUGCAGGUGAGAUAAAGUUCCAGACUUUAAAUCCGUCCUCAGUGCAGCAGGCCUGCGGCCACACUUCCCCAGAGAAGGCGCCUUGUCCAUCACUACAAUCAGCUCCACCAAAGCAUUUUAUCCAUUUAUUUAUUUUCAAGUUGUCAACGACGUUUUUGAAAGCAAAGGCAGACAAAGCUUCUUCUAUACAGCCUGAGGGAUCUGUAUUCCUUUUAACCAAAAUGGCCUGCAGACAUUUUUGCAAAACUAAUAAAAAAGCUCUAAGUACCAGCAUGUGGGCUGAACCAAAAUAAGGCACAAGUGUACAUACCAGUGUAGUACGAUGAAAUGUGAAAUUUAGAAAAGAAAAAAACUAACGGGAGUAGAGAGGCUAGAUAGAAUAUAGUAACGUAUUAUUGCACAAAUUCAUUCCCAU